ACGCGGGCCAGGCCGUGUGGGGGAACCGAGGCCAACGAUGGCGGGGGAGGAAGGCAGGCUGGAGGGACGGGGGAGCCUGGCGCCUUCUCCUUCCCGCUCCGCUUCUCCUUGCCACUGGAGAAGAGUGCAUGGGAAUGACCCCAGGUUAACGACUUCGCUUAAGGAAUGAAAUGACUAACGCUGUACUGCAGCUGAGAAUCUCCCGUAGCGGCUUUGUUUAAUGAACAAAAUGACUAACGCUACUUCAGCCAAGAAUUUCUCACGUAAUCCGGAUUUCAGAUUAGAAGAGCUUUAGCAGAGGAAGCUGAGACUUGGCCUGAGUGAUUCCUGAAAGGAUGUCUGAAAGCAUAUUGGAAAUCUGUGUCACAGUCUGUCUCUUUGGCUGACCUUCAGGAAGACUCCAUUAAUAUGUUCUGCAUACACCAUAUGAGGAAGAAAGCAAAAGACCUGCUGCUUGCCAGGAUCCCUUUGCAGAGGGGCCCAAAAGAGACAGUAUGGUUGGAAUUUUCUCAUGCUGAGCUUGUCCACACAGUCAGAGAAGGAGCCUGGGCGAGUUCAUUGAAACCAUGAAGGCUGGUAAUGUAAAGUAUGCAAAAAUGACAGUCUCAAAAGCUGUAAUUUUUUUUCAUAGAAAUAUAUUGUUGAAAGAAUUCCUAUUUCAUUCUUAUGGCAAUGGAGGUGCAGCUAUAUAAAGCUGGAAUGUCUGAAUAGUUUUCUUCUGCUCCUGUUUUCUUUUGGACUAACAAACAAGUGAAUAAGUAGCAGAGAGAAUCAAUGACUGGCAGGCGAGCAGUUAACACUGUAAACAAACAUGGUAAUACUUCAUCUCUCUUUGUGGCCAUAAUCAAUAAAGGGUCAAUAAACUGGGCAUGCAAAAGCUGUUAUUGUGCUUUUCCUGUAUGUCUUUUUCUGUAGCAACUCUACCAAAGAAUUAAGGAAGACAAGCAAUGAGCUUAUAAGUCAAGGCUCUCCAGCAAUCUGAAAACUUAUGACAGUCCUGAAAGAAGAUGACACAAGAGAGAUUUUAAAUGAAUAAAAAAAUGAUGUGAAAUGUUUUACCACCAUAUUAAUCUGAUUUAAUUCUGUUAUCCUAUAUCCUCCAUAAAAGCAAUUUGCCCACAGUUCAGUAUGAUGUUACUGGUGCAGAACAUGGGCAGAUUACCUUCAGCAAUGGAUGUCUUUCUCCCCAUCCCCCAUUGCAUUCUAUGGGAAAACUGACAAUAGGUAACAUGCUGAUGGGAAGCUCUUGCAGGGGGUACUGAGGGGUGAAUAAUGAAAAGUUUCUGCAGGAGGCACCUUCCAAUAAUGAAAUCCGUAGAGCAGAAAUCCUUUUAGUGAUGAGAAGAAACUUCAAAGAUACUUCCCCUUAAAGAGUGUGAAUCAUUUCACAGAAUCUGAUUCAUAGAUCCAGAUAAUGCUUGCUAUCAGUACUGAAGAUGACCAAAAAAACCUUAUACACACCUGAUGUUGCCUGUUCUUAAG
Harpia harpyja (harpy eagle) is the source of this 1482-nucleotide long non-coding RNA. RefSeq lists it as uncharacterized. NCBI's taxonomy places the organism in Eukaryota, Metazoa, Chordata, Aves, Accipitriformes, Accipitridae. The transcript has 4 exons. The record is from RefSeq and is a predicted model, not a curated record.